Pyrus x bretschneideri (Chinese white pear) is the source of this 429-nucleotide long non-coding RNA. RefSeq lists it as uncharacterized. NCBI's taxonomy places the organism in Eukaryota, Viridiplantae, Streptophyta, Magnoliopsida, Rosales, Rosaceae. The transcript is spliced from 2 exons. The record is from RefSeq and is a predicted model, not a curated record.
AGUUUGAUCGGAAUCGAUGAGGACGAUAAAGAAAAGGAGAUGCAACCACCUAGCACGCAUCCCAAAUGCGGAACAAAUACAGACCAUGGAGAAACUGAGACUCACAGAUCUGCAUUGAAAAACCCUUUUGGGAAGGCUUAUGGUGGCACAUAAACUUGGGUAGCCAUAGGUUUUGGGUCAACAGGCGUUAUUUCUACUGUUGGGCAUAUAUAACUGGCUGGUGGCUCUUCAAUUUCAGAUUCUUCCAGUGUAGUAUCAUUGGUUUUCCCCCAUCUCAAUGUUUGAUCUACAAAGCACUCCUUUCAACCCUAUAGUUUGCAAUUGGUUGAUUAGGGAAAUUUGAAUUGGAAUUGUUUUCUUGUUCUACCAAUUGAUACUUGAGCUGUCCAAUUUGGUGCGCAGAUUAUCGAUUGAGUUUAUUUUCAACCA